RNAcentral lists this ribosomal RNA (478 nucleotides) under uncultured bacterium. Its description in RNAcentral is "partial 16S ribosomal RNA". It matches the Rfam family "Bacterial small subunit ribosomal RNA", at positions 28 to 523 of the family's 1533-position model. The record is from RNAcentral.
GACGAACGCUGGCGGCGUGCUUAACACAUGCAAGUCGAACGGUAAGGCCCUUCGGGGUACACGAGUGGCGAACGGGUGAGUAACACGUGGGUGAUCUGCCCUGCACUUCGGGAUAAGCCUGGGAAACUGGGUCUAAUACCGGAUAGGACUCCUGCCUGCAUGGGUGGGGGUGGAAAGCUUUUGCGGUGUGGGAUGGGCCCGCGGCCUAUCAGCUUGUUGGUGGGGUGAUGGCCUACCAAGGCGACGCCGGGUAGCCGGCCUGUGAGGGUGACCGGGCACACUGGGACUGGGAUACGGCACAGACACCUGCGGGAGGCAGCGGUGGGGAAUAUUGCGCAAUGGGCGCGAGCCUGAUGCAGCGACGCCGCGUGAGGGAUGACGGCCUUCGGGUUGUAAACCUCUUACAGCACAGACGAAGCGCAAGUGACGGUAUGUGCAGAAGAAGGACCGGCCAACUACGUGCCAGCCGCCGCGGUAA